RNAcentral lists this long non-coding RNA (122 nucleotides) under Fukomys damarensis (Damara mole-rat). Its description in RNAcentral is "lncRNA (ENSFDAG00000027862.1)". Lineage: Eukaryota; Metazoa; Chordata; Mammalia; Rodentia; Bathyergidae. The record is from RNAcentral.
AAGGAAAUCUAUGACAACAGUGUCAGGACUAUGAAGGAAGCUCAAGGGACAUCUGUGGUGACUGACGGGGUUCCGUGAGGUGGUGAGACUGGAAGCAGAAUGAGAGAGUCAAAGACAGAGAC